GAUCAAAUGGUUCUUUAUUCUCUAAGCAUUAAGGUUGAAGAAGGGUGUCAGUUGAAUACGGUGGAUGAAAUUGCUGCAGCUGUGAAUCAAAUUCUGCUGUUUAUUCAAGAGGAAGCUGCUUUAAAUUGACACUUUUUUG
Molecule: non-coding RNA, 139 nt
Organism: Cucurbita pepo subsp. pepo (vegetable marrow)
Lineage: Eukaryota; Viridiplantae; Streptophyta; Magnoliopsida; Cucurbitales; Cucurbitaceae
Source: RefSeq, a predicted model, not a curated record